AUGACAACUAGCCAAAACGCUGCCAUUUUCAGUAGCGACUUACAAACGUUCAUUGUAACGAAAUAUGACCCUUUAUUAACCAUAGUAAAAGAGUUAAAUGAUAAGUUACAAAUUUCGGAAAAAGAAAAUUAUAGACUAGAAAAAAGACUGACAAGACUUGAAAGACAAAUGAUAAUAUUACUGAAAAAAUUAGAUGUGAGUGACAUAACUAUAGAUAUGGACGAUAAUGAAAUUACAAAAAUAACUGAAGAAGAAACUAAUACAACAAAAAAAAUCGAAAACAACGAGAAUUUAUCAACACCUUGGCUAUUUUCUUGCCAAUUAGGUACACCACUAUCAUCCUUACAAGUACUGUUAGAAUUUAAUGAAAAAGAUACCAUCGAAUUAAAUGUAAAAUUAUGGAGAAGGGAGGAAGACAUGUGGAUAAACUUUUUAGAAAAUAUAUCAAAAAAAAUUACUAGUAUUAAGAAUAGUAAUGUUACUGGUACUGAUGAUAAUAAUAAUACAAUAAAUAAGUUUUUACCAGAUUCAUAUGACUUAAUAAGCAUAAGAAGAUGCGUAAAAAAGUGUUUAUUAAAUUUAUGUACGGAUGAAAUAUUAAUUGUUUUAAGGAAUGUACCUGGAAAAACUCAGGCUAUUUAUAACACAGCAACUAUGACAUUAGUUGCAAUUCUUGCCUCGGCAGUUUUUGAGGCAUGGAAAAGAAUAGAAACGAUAGAUCCAAUGUCUCUAGGACGAACAGUGUUGGUUUUAGACGGUAAUAACAAGUUCUUACAUGUAGUUACACAUGGGCAUGUAUUUUGUAUAUACAAAUAUUUAAACAAUCAAUAUAAAUAUAUAUAUAUAUAUAUAUAUAUAUAUAUAUNNNNNNNNNNNNNNNNNNNNNNNNNNNNNNNNNNNNNNNNNNNNNNNNNNNNNNNNNNNNNNNNNNNNNNNNNNNNNNNNNNNNNNNNNNNNNNNNNNNNUAUUUUAUUUUAUUUUAUUUUAUUUAUUUUUUUUUUUUUAGGGGAAGACGUGGGAUCCAGACUAAGAGCAGGCAACAAGAAAUUAAAAAUAGAGCCGUUAAAUUAAAUGUUCAUUAAAAAAAAAAAAAAAAAAAAAAAAAAAAAAAAAAAAAAAAAAAAAAAACAUUUUGAAAAUAUGCACAUGUAUGUACAAAUUUUUACAACAUAAUGAUUUAUAAAAAUACAAACCGAUGACGUUACAAGUAGUUGCCACAAACAGCUAUGUUAAAUCGCGUAUCUAUUAUUAUACGUGUAUGUAUGUACGUACUUAUUCGUUUCCUUGUUUUUGUUCUUAUUUUUGUUCUUAUUUUUGUUCCCGCUUAUGUUCCCAUUUAUGAUCCUAUUUCUGUUUUUAUUUUAUUUUUUUUGAUGUUAUAUACACUACACUUUUUGUUAUACUCCCUCUUAAUUUUAUAUGCUCUCUCAUAACAUAUGGUUUUUUUUUGAAAAAAAAAAAUAUAUUCAUAUAUGUGUUUAAAUAUGUAGAAGCUGUUUUAGAAGAAAACUGAUUUUUUUUUUGUUUUUGUGAUUUAGUUGUUUCGUUUAUUAAUUUAUUUGUUUGUUAAUUUUUGCUCUCGCAAUGCGUAUGUAUAUAUAUAUAUAUAUAUAUAUAUAUAUAUAUAUAUAUAUACACGUGUAUAUACAUAUAUGUAUACGCACAAACAUGCAUUUAAAAUAUUUUUUUUUUUUUUUUUUUUUUAUUGUUACAAAAUUUGUUUUUAUAAAAAUAUAUGUACAGUUCAUAUUUUUUUUCAUAAAUAACUUAUAUUAAUGUGAUAAGCAAGCACGUUAUAUAUAUAAAAAAAAAAAAAAAAAAAAAAAAAUCUGAUAUACGUACGUGUGUUAAAGCAAAUUUUUAAUAUUCCAUCCAUUCAAUGCUUUUACUCUAAUAUAUCUUAGGAACUAAACUAUAUUACUCAUGCUUUAUAUAUAUAUAUACACAUAGGUACUUACGACCAAAGUAGUCUUCGCAAAUUUAAUACUUCUCUUAUUCAUUAUUUAUAAUAUAUAACUACAAAAUUAAACUAAUUACGUUUUACUGUGUUAGACCGUGUUAGACCGUGUUAGACCGUGUUAGACCAUGUUAGACCGUGUUAGACCAUGUUAUACCAUGUUAGACCAUGUACAGUUAUACCCUGUCAUACUUGCUCAUGUUGCAGUUACUCUGCUGUUACGCACGUCAUAUUAUAUAUAAUUGAAAAUUGGAUAUACCCCACGACAACUUAUUAGGGUCAUUCACCUGAUUGGUCGUACCAAACUGUACAAUUAAUUUAUUGGACGUAUGUGGGAAAAUAACAUCAAUCAACGAAUAGAAUUUUGACUCGGGUAUUGAAUUACCACAUAUAUUAAUUGAGUUUUGUUUAUUUAGUUGUGAAUGUGUGUCUGUCCAUACAUAAAAAAAGUUUUGUUGUUGUUCACUAUUUUUAAUUUGUAAAUAAGCCGUUUCACCUUGCCAGUCAUCUAUAAAAUGAAAAUUUGUUUUAAUUUUAAUUUUGGUAUGGCUAGGUAAAUUAUCAAAUACUUUUAAAAUUGUUCCUUGGGAUAAAUAUCCAUAUCCACCUAACAAAUUUAUUCCUCCACAUACGGAUAUAUGAUUAUUAAAAUUAUUUGUACCUGUCCAACCUAUAGUAGUAGAACUAUCAGUAAAAGACUCAUGAAGAAGCAUGUUAAAUUGUUCAUUGUUUUUUAUUUUUAUACUAUUUUCUACGUUUAAUACUUUUACUGAUAUAUCAGUAUUUAAAAAAUUUAAAUUAUCAUGGCUAUCUAUACUUAUAAUUGGUUUUUUUUUUUUACUCAAAAUUAAUUCAUUUUGCUCAUUUAUACCUAGUUUAUAUUCGAUUUCUUUAUUUACAAAUAUUAACCCGUUUUCAGCAUUAUUUUUUGAUGAAAUUUUAAGAUUUGCAACUGUUAAGUUCCCUUUAACUUCAAGUUCGUUUUCACUGCUAGCCGUUUUAGCGUAAAAACAGAUAAUACUAACUAGCCAAAGUUUUAUCAACAUUUUGGCUAGCUAUGGAGAAAGGCAAAAAAAAAAAAAAUUUUUUUUUUUUAGCAUAUAAACUGUACAUAUAAACUGUACAUAUAAACUGUACAUAUAAANNNNNNNNNNCUGUACAUAUAAACUGUACAUAUAAACUGUACAUAUAAACUGUACAUGUAAACUGUACAUAUAAAACGUAUGUCUAAAAAAAAGAAAAAAAAUAUCACGCUAUUUUAAAAAGCACUAUUAUCACAAAAAAAAAAAAAAAUAAAUAAAAUAAAAUAAAAUAAAAUAAUAAUAAU
RNAcentral lists this long non-coding RNA (3284 nucleotides) under Piliocolobus tephrosceles (Ugandan red Colobus). RNAcentral describes it as "lncRNA (ENSPTEG00000016040.1)". Lineage: Eukaryota; Metazoa; Chordata; Mammalia; Primates; Cercopithecidae. The record is from RNAcentral.